GGAGGCGGAUCGGUCCUGGUGGGCCGCCUGGACUUCAAAUCCAGUCGAGCGGUAGUGAUCCUGCCGUUGGUGUGUUCGAUUCGCACACGCCUCCGCCA
RNAcentral lists this transfer RNA (98 nucleotides) under Bacillota bacterium. RNAcentral's name for it is "tRNA-Sec". It matches the Rfam family "Selenocysteine transfer RNA". Lineage: Bacteria; Bacillati; Bacillota. RNAcentral also lists the same sequence under 1 other name. The record is from RNAcentral.